Molecule: ribosomal RNA, 456 nt
Filed under: uncultured bacterium
Lineage: Bacteria
Description: bacterial SSU rRNA
Rfam family: Bacterial small subunit ribosomal RNA
Source: RNAcentral
GCACAAGCGGUGGAGCAUGUGGUUUAAUUCGACGCAACGCGAAGAACCUUACCAGCCCUUGACAUCCCGGUCGCGCUUUCCAGAGAUGGGGGGUCCGUAAGGGUCCUAUACAGGUGGUGCAUGGCUGUCGUCAGCUCGUGUCGUGAGAUGUUGGGUUAAGUCCCGCAACGAGCGCAACCCUCGUCCUAUGUUGCCAGCACGUUAUGGUGGGGACUCAUAGGAGACUGCCGGGGUCAACUCGGAGGAAGGUGGGGAUGACGUCAAGUCAUCAUGCCCCUUAUGUCCAGGGCUUCACGCAUGCUACAAUGGCCGGUACAAAGGGCUGCGAAACUGUAAGGUGGAGCGAAUCCCAAAAAGCCGGUCUCAGUUCGGAUUGGGGUCUGCAACUCGACCCCAUGAAGUCGGAGUCGCUAGUAAUCGCAGAUCAGCAACGCUGCGGUGAAUACGUUCCCGGGC